RNAcentral lists this ribosomal RNA (439 nucleotides) under uncultured bacterium. Its description in RNAcentral is "partial 16S ribosomal RNA". It matches the Rfam family "Bacterial small subunit ribosomal RNA", at positions 339 to 795 of the family's 1533-position model. The record is from RNAcentral.
CUACGGGGGGCAGCAGUGAGGAAUAUUGCACAAUGGGGGGAACCCUGAUGCAGCAACGCCGCGUGGAGGAUGACGCAUUUCGGUGUGUAAACUCCUUUUAUAUGUCAAGAAAAUGACGGUAGCAUAUGAAUAAGCACCGGCUAACUCCGUGCCAGCAGCCGCGGUAAUACGGAGGGUGCAAGCGUUACUCGGAAUCACUGGGCGUAAAGAACGCGUAGGCGGGUUGGAAAGUCAGGUGUGAAAUCCUACAGCUUAACUGUAGAACUGCACUUGAAACUUCUAAUCUAGAGUAUGGGAGGGUGAGAUGGAAUUAGUGGUGUAGGGGUAAAAUCCGUAGAUAUCACUAGGAAUACCUAAAGCGAAGGCGAUCUCCUGGAACAUUACUGACGCUAAGGCGUGAAAGCGUGGGGAGCAAACAGGAUUAGAUACCCUAGUAGUC